RNAcentral lists this non-coding RNA (87 nucleotides) under Pseudomonas tolaasii NCPPB 2192. The record is from RNAcentral. Lineage: Bacteria; Pseudomonadati; Pseudomonadota; Gammaproteobacteria; Pseudomonadales; Pseudomonadaceae.
UGUGGGAGUUGGCUUGCCUGCGAUACGGGCGACUCGGUGUAUCAGAUGCACCGAGUCGAUACCAUCGCAGGCAAGCCAGCUCCCACA